UGUGUGACUGCGUACCUUUUGUAUAAUGGGUCAGCGACUUAUAUUCUGUAGCAAGGUUAACCGUAUAGGGGAGCCGCAGGGAAACCGAGUCUUAAUUGGGCGUUAAGUUGCAGGGUAUAGACCCGAAACCCGGUGAUCUAGCCAUGGGCAGGUUGAAGGUUGGGUAACACUAACUGGAGGACCGAACCGACUAAUGUUGAAAAAUUAGCGGAUGACCUGUGGCUGGGGGUGAAAGGCCAAUCAAACCGGGAGAUAGCUGGUUCUCCCCGAAAGCUAUUUAGGUAGCGCCUCGUGAAUUCAUCUCCGGGGGUAGAGCACUGUUUCGGCUAGGGGGCCAUCCCGGCUUACCAACCCGAUGCAAACUGCGAAUACCGGAGAAUGUUAUCACGGGAGACACACGGCGGGUGCUAACGUCCGUCGUGAAGAGGGAAACAACCCAGACCGCCAGCUAAGGUCCCAAAGUCAUGGUUAAGUGGGAAACGAUGUGGGAAGGCCCAGACAGCCAGGAUGUUGGCUUAGAAGCAGCCAUCAUUUAAAGAAAGCGUAAUAGCUCACUGGUCGAGUCGGCCUGCGCGGAAGAUGUAACGGGGCUAAACCAU
Molecule: ribosomal RNA, 599 nt
Filed under: Salmonella enterica
Lineage: Bacteria; Pseudomonadati; Pseudomonadota; Gammaproteobacteria; Enterobacterales; Enterobacteriaceae
Description: partial 23S ribosomal RNA
Rfam family: Bacterial large subunit ribosomal RNA
Source: RNAcentral